RNAcentral lists this ribosomal RNA (295 nucleotides) under uncultured bacterium. RNAcentral's name for it is "partial 16S ribosomal RNA". It matches the Rfam family "Bacterial small subunit ribosomal RNA", at positions 775 to 1067 of the family's 1533-position model. The record is from RNAcentral.
GGAUUAGAUACCCUGGUAGUCCACGCUGUAAACGAUGUCAACUAGCCGUUGGUCAUAUUAUAAAUGAUUAGUGGCGCAGCUAACGCGAUAAGUUGACCGCCUGGGGAGUACGGCCGCAAGGCUAAAACUCAAAUGAAUUGACGGGGGCCCGCACAAGCGGUGGAGCAUGUGGUUUAAUUCGAUGCAACGCGAAGAACCUUACCAUCCCUUGACAUCCUCAGAACUUGUAAGAGAUUACUUGGUGCCUUCGGGAACUGAGUGACAGGUGCUGCAUGGCUGUCGUCAGCUCGUGCCG